Molecule: ribosomal RNA, 894 nt
Filed under: Colletotrichum boninense
Lineage: Eukaryota; Fungi; Ascomycota; Sordariomycetes; Glomerellales; Glomerellaceae
Description: LSU rRNA
Rfam family: Eukaryotic large subunit ribosomal RNA
Source: RNAcentral
GCAUAUCAAUAAGCGGAGGAAAAGAAACCAACAGGGAUUGCCCCAGUAACGGCGAGUGAAGCGGCAACAGCUCAAAUUUGAAAUCUGGCCCCAGGCCCGAGUUGUAAUUUGCAGAGGAUGCUUUUGGCGCGGUGCCUUCCGAGUUCCCUGGAACGGGACGCCAUAGAGGGUGAGAGCCCCGUACGGUUGGACACCAAGUCUUUGUAAAGCUCCUUCGACGAGUCGAGUAGUUUGGGAAUGCUGCUCAAAAUGGGAGGUAUAUUUCUUCUAAAGCUAAAUAUUGGCCAGAGACCGAUAGCGCACAAGUAGAGUGAUCGAAAGAUGAAAAGCACUUUGAAAAGAGGGUUAAACAGCACGUGAAAUUGUUAAAAGGGAAGCGCUUAUGACCAGACUUGCGCCCGGUGAAUCACCCAGCUCUCGCGGCUGGGGCACUUUGCCGGCUCAGGCCAGCAUCAGCUCGCUGUCGGGGACAAAAGCUUCGGGAACGUAGCUCUCUUCGGGGAGUGUUAUAGCCCGUUGCACAAUACCCUUCGGCGGGCUGAGGUACGCGCUCCGCAAGGAUGCUGGCGUAAUGGUCAUCAGCGACCCGUCUUGAAACACGGACCAAGGAGUCAACCUUAUGUGCGAGUGUUUGGGUGUCAAACCCCUACGCGUAAUGAAAGUGAACGCAGGUGAGAGCUUCGGCGCAUCAUCGACCGAUCCUGAUGUUCUCGGAUGGAUUUGAGUAAGAGCAUAUAGGGUUGGACCCGAAAGAAGGUGAACUAUGCGUGUAUAGGGUGAAGCCAGAGGAAACUCUGGUGGAGGCUCGCAGCGGUUCUGACGUGCAAAUCGAUCGUCAAAUAUGCGCAUGGGGGCGAAAGACUAAUCGAACCUUCUAGUAGCUGGUUUCCGCGA